RNAcentral lists this ribosomal RNA (253 nucleotides) under uncultured bacterium. Its description in RNAcentral is "partial 16S ribosomal RNA". It matches the Rfam family "Bacterial small subunit ribosomal RNA", at positions 524 to 776 of the family's 1533-position model. The record is from RNAcentral.
UACGUAGGGUGCAAGCGUUGUCCGGAAUUAUUGGGCGUAAAGAGCGUGUAGGCGGCCCGGUUAGUCCGCUGUGAAAGUCCAGGGCUCAACCCUGGAAUGCCGGUGGAUACUGUCGGGCUAGAGUCCGGAAGGGGCGAGUGGAAUUCCUGGUGUAGCGGUGAAAUGCGCAGAUAUCAGGUGGAACACCCGUAGCGAAGGCGGCAUUCUGGGCCGAUACUGACGCUGAGGAGCGAAAGCGUGGGGAGCGAACAGG